Non-coding RNA from Chlorocebus sabaeus (green monkey), 2192 nucleotides. The record is from RefSeq and is a predicted model, not a curated record. Lineage: Eukaryota; Metazoa; Chordata; Mammalia; Primates; Cercopithecidae.
UAUACAUAUGUAACACACCUGCACGUUAUGUACAUGUACCCUAGAACUUAAGUAUAAAAAAAAAAAAAUUUGUCUUCUCAGAAAACAAAGAACAUUAAUUCUACUUCCAUGGUUUAAUAUGUUGCCCCCAUCUGCAUGCUCAUGGAUAUGUGCUUUUAUAUAUAUUUUAAUCAAUACUUAUAAUACUGUUGGCUACAUUCAAUUUAAUUACAUUUGAGGUAAGAAGUUUUAAAUUCAGUGAAUUCAGGCACUCAGAAUUUAAGCCCUCUGACAUCUAUUAACCAAAUGGAAAUAUGACAGGUGGAUAUUACAAAAAUCAAGAGAAGUGUUUAAUAUAAAUCCCGGACUUUUAGAUAUUUCCAGAAAUGUAAUGUAUAUAUUAGUACACAAACUUGAGCAUUUUCACAAAUCUUUGAACUCAAAUUCCAUUCUUAACUUUUACAGGUAAAUCAAUAUCCAUAUGUGAUUUUAAGCAGCUCAAGCAUCAGCUCUUAAAAACCACCAGAAAUGCUGGGGGCAAAUUCCACCGAGCAGCAAAUAACGGAACUGCAUCCAACAACCCAGCACAGGCAGAGCCUCCAUCAUUCUCCUGCCCCCACCGGAGCAGCACUUCUGUGUGACCGACAGACCCACAUCAACACGGCACCACCACCCAGAGUCCACAGCUCACACGAGGGCUCGGCCUGCUGCUGCUCACUCUGUGGGUUUCACAGACAUGGAACGGCAUGGAUCCCCCAUGAAAGCCCCAUCCGGAGUUGCUUCCCCACCCUACACAUCCCCCUAUGCUCCUCCCAUUCAUCCAUCCCUUCCCCAGCCCCUGGCAGCCAGUGACCCUUUUACUGUCUCCACAGCCUUGCCUUUUCCAGACUGUCCUGCAGCUGGACUCACACAGCAGGCAGCCUUUCCAGAUUGGAGACUCACUUAGCAACAUGCGUUUAAGAUCCGUGUCUUUUCAUGGCUUAGAGGUCCAGUUCUGUUUUUGUACUGAAUAAUAUCCCAGUUUCUGACCUAACACAGUUUAUCCGUUCACCUACUGAAGUGCAUCUUGGUUGCUUUCUAGUUUUGGCAAUUAUAAAUAAAGCUAUAAAGCUGCUGUCAACAUCUGUGUGCACAUUUCCUCAUGGAAUUAAACUUUCAGCUCCUCUGAGUGAACGUCCAGGACUGUGUUUUGCUUCUGUGGUCGGAGUGUUUAGUUCCACGGAAAACUGCCACACUGCCUCCCACAGCAGCUGCCCCACUUCCCCCAGCGAUGAGUGAGGGUCCUGAUGCCCACACAUCCACCAGCACGCGGUGGUGUCGGAGUUCCAGUAUUGACCAGGCUGCUGGGUGUACAGUGGCGCCUCGCUCUAUGACAUAAGAUGUGGGCCAUCUUUCCACGUAUAGAUUUGCCAUCUGUAUAUCUUCUUUGUUGGGGUAUCUGUCCAGGUCUCUUUUCCAUUUUUAAUCAGGUUGUUCAUUUUCUUGUUGAGUUUUGAGAGUUCCUUGCAUGGUUUGGAUAACAGCCUUUAUCAGAUGAGUCUUCUACAGAUACGUUCUCGUCUGUGGCCUGCCCUCUCAUGCUCCUGAGACACUGUUUUAUUUUAAAAAACACUUUAGACAGAAGAUGGACCUCCCAGCCCACCGCGGUUCUCAUUUUGGCCGUGGUCACCACCCUCCCAGCCCUGGUUUCCACCUUUCCACAAUCUGCUCGUCCUGUGGGGGUUUCUCCAUACGAAGUCCCUAACAUAUCUCCAAUGAUGGCAACAUAAAAGCAGGCAGUUUGCAGGUAGGAAGGAGCUGAUGGAGGCCGGAGCAGAGUGUGAAGGCCAGCGGCUUCAUCCCUCGGGGACAAGCAGGCCUCUCAGAUAUCCCUCUGGGUCACCUCCCAAAUGAAGUACCUGCCUUGGCCAUGGGCAGGAAGCAGGACUUGGCCCAGAUCCCAAUAUAUUUGACCUGGCACGACAUUUACAGGUGAGCGGCCGUAACCGGAAACUCUACUCUGGGAAGAACACAUUUUCAUUAUCAAGGCUUUAAAUUAAGAAACCAAAGAGCAAUGCCUGGAGUGAGGGUGCAGGGACUCUGCAUGACCCACAUGCUCGUUUCCACCUGGCACAAAGGACCCUGGAGUGAGGGUGCGGUGCCUGCUCUCAGUCACCAGCACACUCGUCGUUUCUACAUAAAGGACCCUGUGAGUCUGUCCCAGGACUUUUUAG